This 445-nucleotide ribosomal RNA is filed under the name uncultured bacterium. RNAcentral describes it as "SSU rRNA". It matches the Rfam family "Bacterial small subunit ribosomal RNA", at positions 26 to 518 of the family's 1533-position model. The record is from RNAcentral.
AGAGCGAACGCUGGCGGCAGGCCUAAUACAUGCAAGUCGAACGGAUCCUUCGGGAUUAGUGGCGGACGGGUGAGUAACACGUGGGAACGUGCCCUUUGGUUCGGAACAACUCAGGGAAACUUGAGCUAAUACCGGAUGUGCCCUUCGGGGGAAAGAUUUAUCGCCAUUGGAGCGGCCCGCGUCUGAUUAGCUAGUUGGUGGGGUAAAGGCCCACCAAGGCGACGAUCAGUAGCUGGUCUGAGAGGAUGAUCAGCCACACUGGGACUGAGACACGGCCCAGACUCCUACGGGAGGCAGCAGUAGGGAAUCUUGCGCAAUGGGCGAAAGCCUGACGCAGCCAUGCCGCGUGAAUGAUGAAGGUCUUAGGAUUGUAAAAUUCUUUCAGCGUGGACGAUAAUGACGGUACCCGCAGAAGACGCCCGGCUACUUCGCGCCAGCACGCCGC